RNAcentral lists this ribosomal RNA (497 nucleotides) under uncultured bacterium. RNAcentral's name for it is "partial 16S ribosomal RNA". It matches the Rfam family "Bacterial small subunit ribosomal RNA", at positions 28 to 507 of the family's 1533-position model. The record is from RNAcentral.
GAUGAACGCUGGCGGCGUGCCUAAUACAUGCAAGUCGAGCGAACAGACGAGGAGCUUGCUCCUCUGACGUUAGCGGCGGACGGGUGAGUAACACGUGGAUAACCUACCUAUAAGACUGGGAUAACUUCGGGAAACCGGAGCUAAUACCGGAUAAUAUAUUGAACCGCAUGGUUCAAUAGUGAAAGACGGUUUUGCUGUUACUUAUAGAUGGAUCCGCGCCGCAUUAGCUAGUUGGUAAGGUCACGGCUUACCAAGGCAACGAUGCGUAGCCGACCUGGGAGGGUGAUCGGCCACACUGGAACUGAGACACGGUCCAGACUCCUACGGGAGGCAGCAGUAGGGAAUCUUCCGCAAUGGGCGAAAGCCUGACGGAGCAACGCCGCGUGAGUGAUGAAGGUCUUCGGAUCGUAAAACUCUUUUAUUAGGGAAGAACAAAUGUGUAAGUAACUAUGCACGUCUUGACGGUACCUAAUCAGAAAGCCACGGCUAACUACGUG